RNAcentral lists this ribosomal RNA (89 nucleotides) under Arabis alpina (gray rockcress). RNAcentral describes it as "rRNA ENSRNAG00050207915". Lineage: Eukaryota; Viridiplantae; Streptophyta; Magnoliopsida; Brassicales; Brassicaceae. The record is from RNAcentral.
GGGGUGCAACACGAGGACUUCCCAGGAGGUCACCCAUCCUAGUACUACUCUCACCCAAGCACACUUAACUGCGGAGUUCUGAUGGGAUC